Molecule: long non-coding RNA, 694 nt
Organism: Homo sapiens (human)
Lineage: Eukaryota; Metazoa; Chordata; Mammalia; Primates; Hominidae
Gene: RERE-AS1
Product: RERE antisense RNA 1
Exons: 4
Source: RefSeq, marked validated
GCACGGAAAGAUGGCCCUGCCCUCAAGGAGCUGCAGUCUGCCCAGGAAGGCAGACAGAUAAACUGCUAUAGUUUUCCACUAUUGAGCUGAAUUUCGUAUCACCAUCAAAAGUUACCUACCUACAAGUCCCUAGUAGAGAAAAUUUAACUUCUGGCUUUAAAAAAGGGACAGAAAAGCAGGCAGAUCUGCUAGUAAGCAAACUACAGCUCCCCCGAGGAGACACACAGGCAGUGGGUAAGAGGAACAGACCCAUGGCUCCACUGAAGACACAGAGCAGCAGACGAAAAAGACAUGUCCUAAAUGUUAAAUGAAUGUGACAGAAUGAUACCAGGUGACUUCUAAGACUACAUCAUACAAAGCAACACAGCUUCUGCUGGGCUCUCCCUCUCUGGACACGUGUCUUUGAAGCCCUGAGCUGCCAGAUUAAACAGUCCGGCUUGCCUAAAGUCACCACGCUGGAGAGACCAUCAGGGAUGGAGAGGUGCUACAGAAACCCUAGCUAUUCUAGUCCCCAGCCAUUUGAGUCUUCCUAGCCCAGACUCAUAAGUGAAGAAACCUUCAAGAUGAUUCCAAUACCUCCUAUCACUUGACUGCAACCUCGUGAAAGCCUAAGCCAGACCUGCACGGUGGAGCCAUUCCUAAAUUCUGGUCCCACAGAAACUGUGAAAGAUAAUAAAUGAUCAUCAUUGCUUUA